CCUACGGGUGGCUGCAGUGGGGAAUAUUGGACAAUGGGCGCAAGCCUGACGCAGCAACGCCGCGUGAAGGAAGAAGGCUUUCGGGUUGUAAACUUCUUUUGUCAGGGAAGAGUAUAAGACGGUACCUGACGAAUAAGCCACGGCUAACUACGUGCCAGCAGCCGCGGUAAUACGUAGGUGGCAAGCGUUGUCCGGAUUGACUGGGGGUAAAGGGCGUGUAGCCGGGUUGACAAGUCAGAUGUGAAAUCCUGCGGCUUAACCGAAGAACUGCAUUUGAAACUGGUGAUCUUGAGUACUGGAGAGGCAGACGGAAUUCCUAGUGUAGCGGUGAAAUGCGUAGAUAUUAGGAGGAACACCAGUGGCGAAGGCGGUCUCCUGGACAGCAACUGACGGUGAGGCGCGAAAGCGUGGGGAGCAAACAGGAUUAGAUACCCGUGUAGUC
This 442-nucleotide ribosomal RNA is filed under the name uncultured bacterium. Its description in RNAcentral is "partial 16S ribosomal RNA". It matches the Rfam family "Bacterial small subunit ribosomal RNA", at positions 338 to 795 of the family's 1533-position model. The record is from RNAcentral.